CCUACGGGAGGCAGCAGUGAGGCAUAUUGGUCAAUGGACGCAAGUCUGAACCAGCCAUGCCGCGUGCAGGAAGACGGCUCUAUGAGUUGUAACCUGCUUUUGUACGAGGGUAAACGCAGAUACGCGUAUCUGUCUGAAAGUAUAGUACGAAUAAGGAUCGGCUAACUCCGUGCCAGCAGCCGCGGUAAUAAGGAGGAGUCAAGCGUUAUCAGGAUUUAUUGGGUUUAAAGGGUGCGUAGGCGGUCGGAUAAGUUAGAGGUGAAAUCCCGAGGCUCAACUUCGGCAUUGCCUCUGAUACUGUUCGGCUAGAGAGUAGUAGCGGUAGGCGGAAUGUAUGGUGUAGCGGUGAAAUGCUUAGAGAUCAUACAGAACACCGAUUGCGAAGGCAGCUUACCAAGCUACUUCUGACGGUGAGGCACGAAAGCGUGGGGAGCAAACAGGAUUAGAUACCCUAGUAGUC
RNAcentral lists this ribosomal RNA (460 nucleotides) under uncultured bacterium. RNAcentral's name for it is "partial 16S ribosomal RNA". It matches the Rfam family "Bacterial small subunit ribosomal RNA", at positions 338 to 795 of the family's 1533-position model. The record is from RNAcentral.